GGGUUGUGGAAUUUGCAUCUUAUAGUGAUAUGAAGAGUGCACUGGAAAAAUUGGAUGGCACUGAGCUGAAUGGACGCAGAAUUAAACUGACUGAAGAUCACAGAAGGCAUAGAAGCAGAUCUCGAUCAAGGAGUUACUCAAGAUCUCGCAGCAGGUCCAGGUCUACAGGAUCUUCCAGAUCGGACAGCCGGUCCAGGUCCAGGUCAAGAUCAAGGUCCAGGUCCAGGUCCCGCUCUCGAUCCCGGUCCCGCUCUCGAUCCCAGUCUCGUUCUCGCAGUCGUACACCUAAAAAGAGUUACUCUCAGAAAAGCCACCGCUCCAGCUUGCUAGCUUCUUCCCCAUCUCCCUCUUCUUCUAAAAGAAAAUCUCGUUCUAGGUCGAGCUCUGCUCAUAGCCGUAGUUAACCUGCUCUUAGAGGUGUAUUAAUGCAUUUAAUUUGGUUCAAGUUUCUUGAAGACUUGAGACAAAUUAUAUAUGAGAACCGGGAGGGGAAGAGUUAACGUGAUGAAAGGGUAACCUCCUCUUACAUUGCCAAAGUGCCUGUCAUCAAAUAGGCCAUCUCUGUGAGGAGGGGCUGUCGGCUUUCUCCUUUCAGUGAAGUCUGGAGUGGGAAGUCUUUUUUAUUUUUUUUCCCUGCUAUUAGUAAACAUUUCUAUCAUAGAUAUAUUAUGUACACAUAAUGCUGAGGUAAUGGGAUGAGACAAUAUGCUGCUUUCUCCCUCUCUUGCCCCCCACUUUCUGCUCCACCUCCAAGGCCUUUGACUUUCAAAAUACAAUGUUAGCUUUUGUCCUUGGUAUUAAGUCCGAGAACAGGAAGUAUAGAUUUUAUUCCUUUAAGGUGCUGGGGCUACUUUUCUGUGUGAGAAUGAAUGGACCAGCUGAAUUUAGUUUAGAGUUCACUUUUUUCCCCCCGUUGCUUGGCUUAACAGGCUGUUUAAGUUCCAGCUUUAAAUGACCUUGAUAAUAUGCUUAAUUUGCAACAGACUUUCAGGAAUACACAUUGGUCAGUUGAAUAUUGCUCAUUUGGACAGUGAAUCAAUACAAUGUUAACCAGUAAUGAAAGCUGGAAGUUCCUGUUAAAAUGAGACGUACCAUCCAGAUGUCAGGAUUAUUUGGAAUCCAUUAGAAUAAUUUUCCAGUAAUUCACUAGUAUGUGGUAUUGUAUGUAGAGGCCUUAUUUGACAGGUGACUCCAUAAAACUGCACAGAAAUGUCAAUAUGCAUGUCCAUGUUUUUGAUGUUUAUAAAAGUGACAUAGCUUUCAUACCCAAAAGUAUGAUACUGAAUAACAUGUGUAUGACUAGCAAUAGUCUUGAUGGAAAGGAAGGUUAUUUUAGUAAUGACAGCAGCAAAAAAAUCCCAGGAAAAGUAUAGUCAGUUGUGACAGGAAAAGUUAAUCAUGUUAAAGCGUAAAGAGGGUAAUUUCUUUAAAUCUUCUCAAUGCACAGUUGUUUUAAUUAAUAGAAAUUUCCACUGCAAAUACUGUUCGUUCUUAUAAUUUGGAAUUAGAUUUUUUUUUUUUAACUUCUGUAUUGUUAAAGAAGGGAAACAUUUUUGGAAAAAUAUGUAAAUUAAUCCCAAAGUCUUACGUGUGUUUAAAUGUACCAUUCCUAAUAAAAUAAAACCUUUUUCUGGCUUACUUU
Molecule: long non-coding RNA, 1642 nt
Organism: Aptenodytes forsteri (emperor penguin)
Lineage: Eukaryota; Metazoa; Chordata; Aves; Sphenisciformes; Spheniscidae
Exons: 2
Source: RefSeq, a predicted model, not a curated record